Molecule: ribosomal RNA, 253 nt
Filed under: uncultured bacterium
Lineage: Bacteria
Description: partial 16S ribosomal RNA
Rfam family: Bacterial small subunit ribosomal RNA
Source: RNAcentral
UACGUAGGGUGCAAGCGUUAUCCGGAAUUAUUGGGCGUAAAGAGCUCGUAGGCGGUUUGUCGCGUCUGCUGUGAAAACUGGAGGCUCAACCUCCAGCCUGCAGUGGGUACGGGCAGACUAGAGUGCGGUAGGGGAGAUUGGAAUUCCUGGUGUAGCGGUGGAAUGCGCAGAUAUCAGGAGGAACACCAGUAGCGAAGGCGGCACUCUGGGCCGUGACUGACGCUGAGGAGCGAAAGCGUGGGUAGCAAACAGG